RNAcentral lists this ribosomal RNA (912 nucleotides) under Ascocalvatia alveolata. Its description in RNAcentral is "LSU rRNA". It matches the Rfam family "Eukaryotic large subunit ribosomal RNA", at positions 38 to 962 of the family's 3401-position model. Lineage: Eukaryota; Fungi; Ascomycota; Eurotiomycetes; Onygenales; Onygenaceae. The record is from RNAcentral.
GCAUAUCAAUAAGCGGAGGAAAAGAAACCAACAGGGAUUGCCUCAGUAACGGCGAGUGAAGCGGCAAAAGCUCAAAUUUGAAAUCAGACUCCCCUGGGGGUCCGAGUUGUAAUUUGGAGAGGAUACUUCGGUUAGGGUUACCGCGGUGUAAGUCCCUUGGAACAGGGCGUCAUAGAGGGUGAGAAUCCCGUCUUGCACCGCGUCCGCGCCCCCGUGUGAAGUUCCUUCGACGAGUCGAGUUGUUUGGGAAUGCAGCUCUAAGUGGGUGGUAAAUUUCAUCUAAAGCUAAAUACUGGCUGGAGACCGAUAGCGCACAAGUAGAGUGAUCGAAAGGUUAAAAGCACCUUGAAAAGGGAGUUAAAUAGCACGUGAAAUUGUUGAAAGGGAAGCGCUUGCAACCAGACUCGGUUCCGGGGGCUCAGCGGGCACGUGUGCCCGUGUACUCCCCCGGUCUCCGGGCCAGCAUCGAUUUGGGCGGCCGGUCAAAGGCCCUGGGAAGGUAGUAUCCUCCGGGAUACCUUAUAGCCCAGGGUGCAAUGCGGCCAGCCCGGAUCGAGGAACGCGCUCCGGCACGGAUGCUGGCGUAAUGGUUGCAAGCGGCCCGUCUUGAAACACGGACCAAGGAGUCUAACAUCCACGCGAGUGUUCGGGUGUCAAACCCGUGCGCGCAGUGAAAGCGAACGGAGGUGGGAGCCCCCCGGGGUGCACCAUCGACCGAUCCUGAAGUCUUCGGAUGGAUUUGAGUAAGAGCGUGGCUGUUGGGACCCGAAAGAUGGUGAACUAUGCCUGAAUAGGGUGAAGCCAGAGGAAACUCUGGUGGAGGCUCGCAGCGGUUCUGACGUGCAAAUCGAUCGUCAAAUUUGGGUAUAGGGGCGAAAGACUAAUCGAACCAUCUGGUAGCUGGUUCCUGCG